UAACAAGGUUUCCGUAGGUGAACCUGCGGAAGGAUCAUUGUCGAAUCCUGCAAAGCAGAACAACCCGUGAACACGUAAAUACAAUCGGACGUCAAUGGCCCAAACGUUUGUUAGUCCCUUUGAUGUCCUGUCGAUGUAACGUUCAAGCUUCCCUAGGGAUUAAAGAACGUUGCUUCGCAUAAUAACAAACCCCGGCACGGAAUGUGCCAAGGAUAUUAUAACUUAAGAAUGACUUGUUUGAUGUUUGCGGUGUGCUCAUGAAACAAGACGUCUUUGCAAUUACAAACGACUCUCGGCAACGGAUAUCUCGGCUCACGCAUCGAUGAAGAACGUAGCAAAAUGCGAUACUUGGUGUGAAUUGCAGAAUCCCGUGAACCAUCGAGUUUUUGAACGCAAGUUGCGCCCGAAGCCAUUUGGUUGAGGGCACGUCUGCAUGGGCGUCACGCAUCGUGUCGCCCCCUUCAAUGUCUUUCCAAGGCAUGCAAGGGGGGCGGAGAUUGGUCUCCCUUGUGCCAUACAUGGUUGGCCGAAAUACGAGUUCCCUUUGAUGGAAGCACAACUAGUGGUGGUUGAGAGACCUUCGUCUUGUGUUGUGCGUCUUUUCUCAUAUGGGUAGAUCUCUUUGAAGGCCCUAUUGUGUUAUCUUACGAUUACACUUCGACCGCGACCCCAUGUCASGCGGGAUUACCCGCUGAGUUUAAGCAUAUCA
RNAcentral lists this ribosomal RNA (709 nucleotides) under Oedera acerosa. RNAcentral's name for it is "eukaryotic LSU rRNA". The record is from RNAcentral. Lineage: Eukaryota; Viridiplantae; Streptophyta; Magnoliopsida; Asterales; Asteraceae.